Molecule: ribosomal RNA, 757 nt
Filed under: Plasmodium ovale wallikeri
Lineage: Eukaryota; Apicomplexa; Aconoidasida; Haemosporida; Plasmodiidae
Description: SSU rRNA
Rfam family: Eukaryotic small subunit ribosomal RNA
Source: RNAcentral
UUUUGUACUGGAGAUUUUGUUACUUUGAGUAAAUUAGAGUGUUCAAAGCAAACAGUUAAAGCAUUUUACUGCGUUUGAAUACUACAGCAUGGAAUAACAAAAUUGAACAAGUCAAAACUCUGUUCCUUUUUCUUAUUUUGGCUUAGUUACGAUUAAUAGGAGUAGCUUGGGGGCAUUUGUAUUCAGAUGUCAGAGGUGAAAUUCUUAGAUUUUCUGGAGACAAACAACUGCGAAAGCAUUUGCCUAAAAUACUUCCAUUAAUCAAGAACGAAAGUUAAGGGAGUGAAGACGAUCAGAUACCGUCGUAAUCUUAACCAUAAACUAUGCCGACUAGGUUUUGGAUGAAAGAUUUUUAAAUAAGAAAAUUCCUUUUGGAAAUUUCUUAGAUUGCUUCCUUCAGUACCUUAUGAGAAAUCAAAGUCUUUGGGUUCUGGGGCGAGUAUUCGCGCAAGCGAGAAAGUUAAAAGAAUUGACGGAAGGGCACCACCAGGCGUGGAGCUUGCGGCUUAAUUUGACUCAACACGGGGAAACUCACUAGUUUAAGACAAGAGUAGGAUUGACAGAUUAAUAGCUCUUUCUUGAUUUCUUGGAUGGUGAUGCAUGGCCGUUUUUAGUUCGUGAAUAUGAUUUGUCUGGUUAAUUCCGAUAACGAACGAGAUCUUAACCUGCUAAUUAGCGGCGAAUACGUUAUAUUCCUACUUGAAAUUGAAUAUAGCUGAAUUUGCUUAUUUUGAAGAAUAUAUUAGGAUACAUUAUA